AACGAACGCUGGCGGCAUGCCUAACACAUGCAAGUCGAACGAGACCUUCGGGUCUAGUGGCGCACGGGUGCGUAACGCGUGGGAACCUGCCCUUAGGUUCGGAAUAACUCCCCGAAAGGGGUGCUAAUACCGGAUAAUGUCUUCGGACCAAAGAUUUAUCGCCUUUGGAUGGGCCCGCGUUGGAUUAGCUAGUUGGUAGGGUAAAAGCCUACCAAGGCGACGAUCCAUAGCUGGUCUGAGAGGAUGAUCAGCCACACUGGGACUGAGACACGGCCCAGACUCCUACGGGAGGCAGCGGUGGGGAAUAUUGGACAAUGGGCGAAAGCCUGAUCCAGCAAUGCCGCGUGAGUGAUGAAGGCCUUAGGGUUGUAAAGCUCUUUUACCCGGGAUGAUAAUGACAGUACCGGGAGAAUAAGCUCCGGCUAUCUCCGUG
RNAcentral lists this ribosomal RNA (433 nucleotides) under uncultured bacterium. Its description in RNAcentral is "partial 16S ribosomal RNA". It matches the Rfam family "Bacterial small subunit ribosomal RNA", at positions 29 to 507 of the family's 1533-position model. The record is from RNAcentral.